Molecule: ribosomal RNA, 467 nt
Filed under: uncultured microorganism
Description: bacterial SSU rRNA
Rfam family: Bacterial small subunit ribosomal RNA
Source: RNAcentral
GAGUUUGAUCAUGGCUCAGAGCGAACGCUGGCGGCAGGCCUAACACAUGCAAGUCGAACGAACUCUUCGGAGUUAGUGGCGGACGGGUGAGUAACACGUGGGAACGUGCCUUUUGGUUCGGAAUAACUCAGGGAAACUUGUGCUAAUACCGAAUGUGCCCUUCGGGGAAGGAUUAUCGCCAUUAGAGCGGCCCGCGUCUGAUUAGCUAGUUGGUGAGGUAAAGGCUCACCAAGGCGACGAUCAGUAGCUGGUCUGAGAGGAUGAUCAGCCACAUUGGGACUGAGACACGGCCCAAACUCCUACGGGAGGCAGCAGUGGGGAAUCUUGCGCAAUGGGCGAAAGCCUGACGCAGCCAUGCCGCGUGAAUGAUGAAGGUCUUAGGAUUGUAAAAUUCUUUCACCGGGGACGAUAAUGACGGUACCCGGAGAAGAAGCCCCGGCUAACUUCGUGCCAGCCGCCGCCGUAAU